GGGCUUCGCAGGCGGUUUCUUAAGUCUGAAUGUGAAAGCCCCCGGCUCAACCGGGGAGGGUCAUUGGAAACUGGGAAACUUGAGUGCAGAAGAGGAGAGUGGAAUUCCACGUGUAGCGGUGAAAUGCGUAGAGAUGUGGAGGAACACCAGUGGCGAAGGCGACUCUCUGGUCUGUAACUGACGCUGAGGAGCGAAAGCGUGGGGAGCGAACAGGAUUAGAUACCCUGGUAGUCCACGCCGUAAACGAUGAGUGCUAAGUGUUAGGGGGUUUCCGCCCCUUAGUGCUGCAGCUAACGCAUUAAGCACUCCGCCUGGGGAGUACGGUCGCAAGACUGAAACUCAAAGGAAUUGACGGGGGCCCGCACAAGCGGUGGAGCAUGUGGUUUAAUUCGAAGCAACGCGAAGAACCUUACCAGGUCUUGACAUCCUCUGACAACCCUAGAGAUAGGGCUUUCCCUUCGGGGACAGAGUGACAGGUGGUGCAUGGUUGUCGUCAGCUCGUGUCGUGAGAUGUUGGGUUAAGUCCCGCAACGAGCGCAACCCUUGAUCUUAGUUGCCAGCAUUCAGUUGGGCACUCUAAGGUGACUGCCGGUGACAAACCGGAGGAAGGUGGGGAUGACGUCAAAUCAUCAUGCCCCUUAUGACCUGGGCUACACACGUGCUACAAUGGACAGAACAAAGGGCUGCGAGACAGCAAGGUUUAGCCAAUCCCACAAAUCUGUUCUCAGUUCGGAUCGCAGUCUGCAACUCGACUGCGUGAAGCUGGAAUCGCUAGUAAU
RNAcentral lists this ribosomal RNA (779 nucleotides) under Bacillus pumilus. Its description in RNAcentral is "bacterial SSU rRNA". It matches the Rfam family "Bacterial small subunit ribosomal RNA", at positions 565 to 1342 of the family's 1533-position model. The record is from RNAcentral. Lineage: Bacteria; Bacillati; Bacillota; Bacilli; Caryophanales; Bacillaceae.